AACACAUGCAAGUCGAGCGGUAACGAUUUCUAGCUUGCUAGAAGAUGACGAGCGGCGGACGGGUGAGUAACGACGUGAAAUCUACCUAGUAGUGGGGAGUAGCCCAGAGAAAUUUGGAUUAAUACCGCAUACGCCCUACCGGGGAAGACGGGGAGUCUUCGGACCUCGUGCUAUUAGAUGAGUCUGCGUCGGAUUAGCUUGUUGGUGAGGUAAUGGCUCACCAAGGCGACGAUCCGUAGCUGGUCUGAGAGGAUGACCAGCCACACUGGAACUGAGACACGGUCCAGACUCCUACGGGAGGCAGCAGUGGGGAAUAUUGCACAAUGGGCGCAAGCCUGAUGCAGCCAUGCCGCGUGUGUGAAGAAGGCCUUAGGGUUGUAAAGCACUUUCAGCAGUGAGGAAAGGGGUGUCGUUAAUAGCGCCAUCCUGUGACGUUAACUGCAGAAGAAGGACCGGCUAACUCCGUG
RNAcentral lists this ribosomal RNA (467 nucleotides) under uncultured bacterium. RNAcentral's name for it is "bacterial SSU rRNA". It matches the Rfam family "Bacterial small subunit ribosomal RNA", at positions 50 to 507 of the family's 1533-position model. The record is from RNAcentral.